CAUUGAUAACCUGGAAACUAUACAGAGAAAGAAAAUCAGAAUUGUAAGAGGCCUUAAUUCCAUAUCAUGAGACCGAAAGGAAUUAAUGAUAUUUUGCUUGAAGGGAAGGCUGGGGACAAGACAGUUGGUGUUUGAGUAACUGAACAGCUACCAAGUGGAAGAUGGUUUAGAUUUAUUCUGUUUGUUUCAAGAUAGCAGAACAAGAAGCAAUGGGCAGAUCAUGCAAGAGGUACAGACACCGAGGACCAAGAAGGCUAAAUGAUUUACCUAAGAACAUCCAGAUAAUAAAGCAUCGAGGCAGGAGAUUAUAAGGACAGAAUGUUACCUGUACUGUAUCAUCAGAUGAGAUGAUCUAGGAUGUGACUCUUCACGGCUAUUCCACAAGAAGAAGAUAAUACUCUACAUCCAGGCCUAAUGCAGGUGGGCCCUAAAGACCAACCCAUAAUUUAGCAAAGUUCUAGAGCUGGAAAGCAGUACUAACUGAACCACCAGCUCACCUUAAAAUUACUUGAAAGAUGAGAAAACUGAGGCUCAGAGAAGGUGAGUGAUUUAUCCUAACUAAAUCUCCUUGGACAAGUCAUUCAGCACUUUGUCUAUAAAACUGGAGAUAACUAUUCACACUAUCUGCCUCACGGAUUGUUGUCAGAAUCAUGGGAUUGCAGAUUAAGAGCUGGAAAGGAUCUUAGUUGUCAUCUGAUCAUCUGGAUUCACAGUUUAGGAGUCAUUCUUGAUUCUUAUUCAAUCCCUACAUCUCUGUCAUCUCUACUCUUUUCCACUAAGAAUUUAUGGACUUGAACUAUUGCAAUAAGCUUCUGAUGACUGUCCCCUGCAUCACUUCUCCAUUUCAUCCUUCACACAGUCACUGAACUGAUAUUCCUAAAGCAAAGAUUUGAACCAUGACAUUCCUCUCUUCAAGGAGUUUCAGUGUCU
Phascolarctos cinereus (koala) is the source of this 930-nucleotide non-coding RNA. Lineage: Eukaryota; Metazoa; Chordata; Mammalia; Diprotodontia; Phascolarctidae. The record is from RefSeq and is a predicted model, not a curated record.